RNAcentral lists this ribosomal RNA (446 nucleotides) under uncultured bacterium. RNAcentral's name for it is "partial 16S ribosomal RNA". It matches the Rfam family "Bacterial small subunit ribosomal RNA", at positions 338 to 795 of the family's 1533-position model. The record is from RNAcentral.
CCUACGGGAGGCAGCAGUCGAGAAUCAUUCACAAUGGGGGAAACCCUGAUGGUGCGACGCCGCGUGGGGGAAUGAAGGUCUUCGGAUUGUAAACCCCUGUCAUGUGGGAGCAAAUUAAAAAGAUAGUACCACAAGAGGAAGAGACGGCUAACUCUGUGCCAGCAGCCGCGGUAAUACAGAGGUCUCAAGCGUUGUUCGGAAUCACGGGGCGUAAGGGGAGCGUAGGCUGUUUCGUAAGUCGUGUUAGAAAGGCGCGGGCUCAACCCGCGGACGGCACAUGAUACUGCGAGACUAGAGUAAUGGAGGGGGAACCGGAAUGCUCGGUGUAGCAGUGAAAUGCGUAGAUAUCGAGAGGAACACUCGUGGCGAAGGCGGGUUCCUGGACAUUAACUGACGCUGAGGCACGAAGGCCAGGGGAGCGAAAGGGAUUAGAUACCCUGGUAGUC